Molecule: non-coding RNA, 46 nt
Organism: Soboliphyme baturini
Lineage: Eukaryota; Metazoa; Nematoda; Enoplea; Dioctophymatida; Soboliphymatidae
Source: Rfam
CCAACGGCCCUUUUUAGGGCCACUCUGAGAAAGAGCUCGUUUCUUU